UGGGUUCGAGCCCCACGUUGGGCGACGGUUACUUUUUCUCUGGUCCCAUUUUAGACUCGGGUUAAAAAAAAAAAAUAAUCAAAAAAAAAAAGGGAACAACUCAAUUUCUCGGUUCCUGAGUUUAUGUGUGUAUCCGCGGGGAAACUGGAACCAGGAGGUUACAAUGUAUCUAGGGCAGAACAGGGACAGCCGCGGGAAGUACCCUGCGCUACGUCACUACUCUCACCCGGGCUCCGGCCCGAUCGGGCGUCGCCAGUUUGGCGGUUUCUUCCCCCAGGCCACGAAGAACGUCCUGAACUGAGAGGACCGAAAACUUUGACUUGUUGGAACCCAAGGUCAUGUUGACUUUCUGAGAAGAUUCCUACUCCUGCUCCAAAGUGACAACUGAUGGUAUGCCAAUAGUUGGAUUCCUUGUGCCUAAU
Long non-coding RNA from Sarcophilus harrisii (Tasmanian devil), 422 nucleotides. RefSeq lists it as uncharacterized. NCBI's taxonomy places the organism in Eukaryota, Metazoa, Chordata, Mammalia, Dasyuromorphia, Dasyuridae. The transcript has 2 exons. The record is from RefSeq and is a predicted model, not a curated record.